CUGGUUGAUCCUGCCAGUAAUCAUAUGCUUGUCUCAAAGAUUAAGACAUGCAUGCCUAAGUACAAACUCUAGCACAGUGAAACUGCGAAUGGCUCAUUAGAUCAGUUAUGGUUCCUUAGAUGAUACAAUCCUACUUGGAUAACUGUGGUAAUUCUAGAGCUAAUACAUGCACUAAAGCUCCGACCCUUUCUGAGGGGAAGAGCGCGUUUAUCAGUUCGAAGCCAGCCGAGCCGCAAGGCUCSUCUUUGGUGACUCUGGAUAACUCUAGCGGAUCGCACGGCCUCGAGCCGGCGACGCAUCUAUCAAGUGUCUGCCCUAUCAGACUGUCGAUGGUAAGUGCUAUGCUUACCAUGGUGAUAACGGGUAACGGGGAAUCAGGGUUCGAUUACGGAGAAGGAGCCUGAGAAACGGCUACCACAUCCAAGGAAGGCAGCAGGCGCGCAAAUUACCCAAUCUCGAUACGAGGAGGUAGUGACGAAAAAUAACAAUACGGGACUCUUUCGAGGCCCCGUAAUUAGAAUGAGUGUACUCUAAACGUGUGCACGAGGAUCUAUUGGAGGGCAAGUCUGGUGCCAGCAGCCGCGGUAAUUCCAGCUCCAAUAGCGUAUAUUAAAGCUGUUGUGGUUAAAAAGCUCGUAGUUGGAUCUCAGGGUCGUUCGCGUCGGUCCCUUGCUGCAAUGGCUCGGGUACUGCGCGGUGUCGUCCCCCUUGCCAGACCUCUCAAAAAGGUUGCUCUUGACUGAGUGGCCUGCUCGAGUGGCUGGAGAGUUUACUUUGAAAAAAUUAGAGUGUUCAAAGCAGGCACAGCCCGCCUGUAUAAUGGUGCAUGGAAUAAUGGAAUAGGACCCCGGAUCCUAUUUUGCUGGUUUUUGGAGCUCAGGGGUAAUGAUUAAGAGGAACAGGGCGGGGGCAUCCGUAUUACGGCGUUAGAGGUGAAAUUCUUGGAUCGUCGUAAGACGCCCUACAGCGAAAGCAUUUGCCAAGUAUGUUUUCAUUAAUCAAGAACGAAAGUCAGAGGUUCGAAGACGAUCAGAUACCGUCGUAGUUCUGACCGUAAACUAUGCCAACUGGCAGCCCGUCGGCGUUGCUCUAUUCGACUCGGCGGGAGGCCUKCCCGAAAGGAAAGUCUACGGGUUCCAGGGGAAGUAUGGUUGCAAAGCUGAAACUUAAAGGAAUUGACGG
Molecule: ribosomal RNA, 1182 nt
Filed under: Eulepetopsis vitrea
Lineage: Eukaryota; Metazoa; Mollusca; Gastropoda; Neolepetopsidae
Description: SSU rRNA
Rfam family: Eukaryotic small subunit ribosomal RNA
Source: RNAcentral